UAAUACAUAAAAUUUAACCAGGGCCUAUUCACAAUAACUCAUAAUCACAAUAAGGGCUUACUAGUUUACCUACAGUUAAUUACACAAUAAUUAAUUUAUAGCGUAGUGCUAACAAUAAGGCCCAAUUUAAAUACACAACCCUAUAACUGCGGAGUUCAAUAAUAAUCUGAUAAAAGAGUAACUUAUACAACCAAAAUUAAAUAACAAAAAAUAUAAAGUUUACAUUUAUAACUCUGCGGAGAAGAUUGCAGAGCUUCAAUCGAAUCAGCUGCUUCCUAGUACCUGAGAGGUUUGGAGAGAAGGGGGUGAGUUUUGCAACUCAGUGAAUAAUAAUAAAUAAUACACACCACAUACAGGCAAGCAAAAUGCACCCUAGUAUACUGAAUGAACACACAAC
RNAcentral lists this long non-coding RNA (397 nucleotides) under Jatropha curcas. Its description in RNAcentral is "long non-coding RNA (JCUR_LNC002901)". Lineage: Eukaryota; Viridiplantae; Streptophyta; Magnoliopsida; Malpighiales; Euphorbiaceae. The record is from RNAcentral.